GUAAGCGGCGAGUGAAGCGGCAAUAGCUCAAAUUUGAAAUCUGGCACCUUCGGUGUCCGAGUUGUAAUUUGAAGAAGGUAUCUUUGGUUUUGGCUCUUGUCUAUGUUCCUUGGAACAGGACGUCACAGAGGGUGAGAAUCCCGUGCGAUGAGAUGCCCAAUUCCAUGUAAAGUUCCUUCGACGAGUCGAGUUGUUUGGGAAUGCAGCUCUAAGUGGGUGGUAAAUUCCAUCUAAAGCUAAAUAUUGGCGAGAGACCGAUAGCGAACAAGUACUGUGAAGGAAAGAUGAAAAGAACUUUGAAAAGAGAGUGAAAAAGUACGUGAAAUUGUUGAAAGGGAAGGGCUUGAGAUUAGACUUGGAAUUUUCCAUUUAUGGAGCUUUCCGGGCCAGCAUCAGUUUGGAUGGCAGGAUAAUUGCGUUGGAAAGUAGCACCACUUCGGUGGUGUGUUAUAGACUUCGUCGAUACUGCCUAUCUAGACUGAGGACCGCGUCUUUGACUAGGAUGCUGGCGUAAUGAUCUUAAGCCGC
Molecule: ribosomal RNA, 528 nt
Filed under: Yamadazyma membranifaciens
Lineage: Eukaryota; Fungi; Ascomycota; Pichiomycetes; Serinales; Debaryomycetaceae
Description: [Candida] membranifaciens partial large subunit ribosomal RNA
Rfam family: Eukaryotic large subunit ribosomal RNA
Source: RNAcentral